GACGAACGCUGGCGGCGUGCCUAAUACAUGCAAGUAGAACGCAGUUGCGAACGGGUGAGUAACGCGUAGGUAACUGCCUCAUAGCGGGGGAUAACUAUUGGAAACGAUAGCUAAUACCGCAUACUGUGAGAUGUACCUUCGUUGUAUUAGCUAGUUGGUGAGGUAAAGGCUCACCAAGGCGACGCUACAUAGCCGACCUGAGAGGGUGAUCGGCCAAAAUGGGAACGGGAAAAGGGCCAGACUCCUAAGGGAGGGAGCAGGAGGGAAUCUUCGGCAAUGGACGGAAGUCUGAACGAGCAACGCCGCGUGAGUGAAGAAGGUUUUCGGAGCGUAAAGCUCUGUUGUUAGAGAAGCGGUAACUAAACAGAAAGGAACGGCUAACUACGUGCCAGCCGCCGCGGUAAUAC
RNAcentral lists this ribosomal RNA (407 nucleotides) under uncultured bacterium. RNAcentral describes it as "partial 16S ribosomal RNA". It matches the Rfam family "Bacterial small subunit ribosomal RNA", at positions 28 to 526 of the family's 1533-position model. The record is from RNAcentral.